Long non-coding RNA from Chelonia mydas (Green sea turtle), 2272 nucleotides. RefSeq lists it as uncharacterized. The transcript has 4 exons. The record is from RefSeq and is a predicted model, not a curated record. NCBI's taxonomy places the organism in Eukaryota, Metazoa, Chordata, Testudines, Cheloniidae.
CUUAGACUUAGGUAUUAGUGAUUUCAGCUCUGCAGCACGUAACAAGACUCUCAGUUGGUCUAAAUUAGCUCUUUUAUUAUGUCAUGGAGAGAGAAAAGAGCAAAUGGUGUCCAGGACCCACACCACCCAAUACAAAUACCUGUACCCAUCUUCUCUCAACUCACUUGGGCUUUGAGACCCAUGUACGAUAACCAGAGAGCAAGUGUGCAAAAUCGGGACGGGGGUAAUAGGAGCCUAUAUAAGAAAAAGACCCCAAAAUCAGGACAUCUGGUCACCCUAAACCCAUGUCUCCUGCCUAGCAAGUGCUGUUCAGUUGAGGGUGAAUCCCUCCAUUGGGGUAUGCCAGGUACGGUUUUGCUGCCCUCGGUUCACACAACUAAGGAUAGCAACCCUUUAUUACUCCUGCCCCAAUAACCAGGAAACUGGGGAUCCAACAGCAGCUGCAAGUGAUCAUUUAGGCAAGCAGUCCCAUUAUGCUGAGCACCUAGGCAGGGAGGGUGUAUCCAUGCAAAUGAGAUCAGCUUCUGAAGUCUUUUUCCCACAGCUCACCACUAGAUGUCUGCUUACAUAAGCAAGAACAUGUCUCAUCCAUAACUCUGUAACUGACAGGUGUCCAGAGUCCCUUGCUUGAUCAAUCUGCUUGUUAAUUACCUCUCUUCACAGAUCAGAUUUUAACAAAUCCAGGCAAGAUCAGAAGUUGUGUCCUAGGAAGAAACUUUCAUGUGACUGGUUUGGUGUUGCAUGUGCAACAUUUCAAUACGCAAACAAGAAGUUUGUAUGUUUAGCCUAUAAUGAACCUGAUUGUUCUGUUGAAGCUCCGAAAGCUUGUUUCAUGCCGUUACUUUUCAUGAAAGCUUGGAAAUCUGCUGAAACAAAUUGUGGAUCAUUGUCACUUACAACAUGUCCUGGCAGUCCCAUGCGAGCAAAAGGGCUUGGUAGAACUUGUAUGAUACUUGCAGAUGUUGUGGAUGACAUGCAGAAAACUUCAGGCCACUUAGACUAUCAGUCCACUACUACUAGAAAAUUGGUACCCAAGAACAUUUCAGUGACAUGCAGAUUAAUUUGUUCCUAGGGAGCAGACAGUUCCAAGGAUGAAGUGGUGCCAGUCAUAUUGUGCACCCUCUGACAGCCAGAACAGUCAUUAGCUAACUGUUCAAUUUGUUGAUCAAUACCUGGCCACCAGACAUAUCCUCUAGCCCAUGUCUUUAUCUUGACUACACCCAUGUGCCCUACAUGCAGUUCCUCCAGGACCCUUGCCUGUAGUUUUGUAGGAAUGAUGGCACAAAUUCUCCACGUCAGACAACCUUGAACAAUUGUGAUUUCAUUCCUCCAGCGGAAGAAUAACUUUAAGCUCUACACUUGUUCUGUCUUCCAGACUUUUAAGACUUCCAGGAUGGAUGCCACUCCAAAUACUAGUCGGUUAUACUGGAACAAGCUUUUGUCAGUGUUGAUGGAGAGGAAUUCCUCAACCCUUCCUCUACUUCCAUUUGCAGAAAAACUGGUUCAGUCAUUCUCAGAAUGAGAUGAGUGAUAAUUUUCUGUUUCACCUUCUCUCCUCAUUCAUCCCAAAUGGGUAAUGCCGGUCAUCUGUGGAAUUCAGAGGUGGUCCAGUAUUGUUGCUGGAGGCUCCAGGACUCCGCAAGGGACUGUUUCUCCGAACAGGGAGAAAAACAGAGUCCACUAGGGAAUCGCUUGCUAACGCAAGAGGGAAGCUGCUCCAACGACCGUUACUGGUGGUAAGAAGGAACUGAAGAGGUGGCGGGUAACAAGGGAUCUAUAUACAUGGCCAUAAAAGCACCACUCCAGGGGGCUCCACAGCCAACUCGAUGGGUACCGCUAGGAAAAAAACCUUCCGACGAUCGUGCGUGCGGCGUGCACAUACCUCCUUCGAAUUGACAUAAGCAAUCACUCGAAGAACAAGAGCACCCCUUUCUGCUCCAUAUCUAAUAAGUACAGUAACUCCCCACUUAACAUCCUCUCGCUUAACGUUGUUUCGAUCUUACGUCCCUGCUCCAUUACAGAACAUGCUCGUUUAAAGUUGUGCAACACUCCACUAUAACGUCGUUUGGCUGUCUGCUUUGUCCACAGCUGGCAGCCCCCCAUCAGCUCCCCUAUGCCCCCCAUCCCCCUGCUCCCCCCGCCUGCUGGCAGACCCCGCAGAUCAGCACUUUCCCCCUGCUCCCCCCGCCUCCUGCCCGGAGCAAUCAGCUGGUUUGCGGCGUUCAGGAGGCUGCAGGGAGGAGUGAGGACGCGGCGCGCAGGCUCCCCCUCC